UAAUACGGAGGGUGCAAGCGUUAAUCGGAAUCACUGGGCGUAAAGCGCACGUAGGCUGUUUGGUAAGUCAGGGGUGAAAUCCCGCGGCUCAACCGCGGAAUUGCCCUUGAUACUGCUGGACUUGAGUUCGGGAGAGGGUGGCGGAAUUCCAGGUGUAGGAGUGAAAUCCGUAGAUAUCUGGAGGAACAUCAGUGGCGAAGGCGGCCACCUGGACCGAUACUGACGCUGAGGUGCGAAAGCGUGGGGAGCAAACAGG
This 256-nucleotide ribosomal RNA is filed under the name uncultured bacterium. RNAcentral's name for it is "partial 16S ribosomal RNA". It matches the Rfam family "Bacterial small subunit ribosomal RNA", at positions 521 to 776 of the family's 1533-position model. The record is from RNAcentral.